Molecule: ribosomal RNA, 173 nt
Filed under: Vibrio parahaemolyticus
Lineage: Bacteria; Pseudomonadati; Pseudomonadota; Gammaproteobacteria; Vibrionales; Vibrionaceae
Description: partial 23S ribosomal RNA
Rfam family: Bacterial large subunit ribosomal RNA
Source: RNAcentral
AAUUUUAAGGUCAAGCUACAAAGGGCGCAUGGUGAAUGCCUUGGCACUAGGAGCCGAAGAAGGACGCGAUAAGCUGCGAUAAGCCUUGGGUAGCCGCAAAUAGGCUGAGAUCCAGGGAUUUCUGAAUGGGGAAACUCACAUGGGUAACCCCAUGUAUUAUGCACUGAAUACAU